RNAcentral lists this ribosomal RNA (468 nucleotides) under uncultured bacterium. Its description in RNAcentral is "partial 16S ribosomal RNA". It matches the Rfam family "Bacterial small subunit ribosomal RNA", at positions 28 to 507 of the family's 1533-position model. The record is from RNAcentral.
GACGAACGCUGGCGGCGUGCUUAACACAUGCAAGUCGAACGGAAAGGCCCUGCUUUUGUGGGGUGCUCGAGUGGCGAACGGGUGAGUAACACGUGAGUAACCUGCCCUUGACUUUGGGAUAACUUCAGGAAACUGGGGCUAAUACCGUAUAGGAGCUCCUGCUGCAUGGUGGGGGUUGGAAAGUUUCGGCGGUUGGGGAUGUACUCGCGGCUUAUCAGCUUGUUGGUGGGGUAGUUGCUUACCAAGGCUUUGACGGGUAGCCGGCAUGAGAGGGUGACCGGCGAAAUUGGGACUGAGAUACGGCCCAGACUCCUACGGGAGGCAGCAGUGGGGAAUAUUGCACAAUGGGCGGAAGCCUGAUGCAGCAACGCCGCGUGCGGGAUGACGGCCUUCGGGUUGUAAAACGAUUUCGCAUGUGACGAAGCGUGAGUGACGGUAAUGGGUAAAGAAGCACCGGCUAACUACGUG